Molecule: ribosomal RNA, 479 nt
Filed under: uncultured soil bacterium
Lineage: Bacteria
Description: bacterial SSU rRNA
Rfam family: Bacterial small subunit ribosomal RNA
Source: RNAcentral
AGGACGAACGCUGGCGGCGUGCUUAACACAUGCAAGUCGAGCGGUAAGGCCUUUCGGGGUACACGAGCGGCGAACGGGUGAGUAACACGUGGGUGAUCUGCCCUGCACUCUGGGAUAAGCCUGGGAAACUGGGUCUAAUACCGGAUAUGACCUGCUCUCGCAUGGGGGGUGGGUGGAAAGAUUUAUCGGUGCAGGAUGGGCCCGCGGCCUAUCAGCUUGUUGGUGGGGUAAUGGCCUACCAAGGCGACGACGGGUAGCCGACCUGAGAGGGUGACCGGCCACACUGGGACUGAGACACGGCCCAGACUCCUACGGGAGGCAGCAGUGGGGAAUAUUGCACAAUGGGCGAAAGCCUGAUGCAGCGACGCCGCGUGAGGGAUGAAGGCCUUCGGGUUGUAAACCUCUUUCAGCGAGGACGAAGCGCAAGUGACGGUACCUGACAGAAGAAGCAACCGGCUAACUACGUGCCCAGCAGCCGC